UACGUAGGGUGCGAGCGUUGUCCGGAAUUAUUGGGCGUAAAGGGCUCGUAGGCGGUUUGUCGCGUCGGGAGUGAAAACCAGGUGCUUAACACCUGGCUUGCUUUCGAUACGGGCAGACUAGAGGUAUUCAGGGGAGAACGGAAUUCCUGGUGUAGCGGUGAAAUGCGCAGAUAUCAGGAGGAACACCGGUGGCGAAGGCGGUUCUCUGGGAAUGACCUGACGCUGAGGAGCGAAAGCGUGGGGAGCGAACCGG
Molecule: ribosomal RNA, 253 nt
Filed under: uncultured bacterium
Lineage: Bacteria
Description: partial 16S ribosomal RNA
Rfam family: Bacterial small subunit ribosomal RNA
Source: RNAcentral